UACAGAGGGUGCAAGCGUUGUUCGGAAUUACUGGGCGUAAAGCGCGUGUAGGCGGCGUCGUUAGUCGGAUGUGAAAGCCCUCGGCUCAACCGAGGAAGUGCAUCCGAUACUGCGAUGCUUGAGUGUUGGAGGGGGUGGCGGAAUUCCCCGGUGUAGAGGUGAAAUUCGUAGAUAUCGGGGAGGAACACCUGUGGCGAAGGCGGCCACCUGGACAACAACUGACGCUGAGACGCGAAAGCGUGGGUAGCAAAACAGG
This 256-nucleotide ribosomal RNA is filed under the name uncultured bacterium. RNAcentral's name for it is "partial 16S ribosomal RNA". It matches the Rfam family "Bacterial small subunit ribosomal RNA", at positions 524 to 776 of the family's 1533-position model. The record is from RNAcentral.